CGUCAUUACAACCCUCAAGCGUAGCUUGGUAUUGGGUCAUCGCCCCCGGGGCGUGCCCGAAAAGUAUUGGCGUCCCGAUGUGACUUUAAGCGUACUAAAUUAUCUCCCGCUUUAAAAGUUUCGCAUCGUCGCAGCCAGACAACCCCAUAAUUCUAUCAAUGAUUGACCUCGGAUCAGGUAGGGAUACCCGCUGAACUUAA
Molecule: unclassified non-coding RNA, 200 nt
Filed under: soil metagenome
Description: partial contains internal transcribed spacer 2 and large subunit ribosomal RNA
Source: RNAcentral